RNAcentral lists this ribosomal RNA (378 nucleotides) under uncultured bacterium. RNAcentral's name for it is "bacterial SSU rRNA". It matches the Rfam family "Bacterial small subunit ribosomal RNA", at positions 29 to 422 of the family's 1533-position model. The record is from RNAcentral.
AGCGAACGCUAGCGGCGGGCCUAACACAUGCAAGUCGAGCGGGGAGCAAUCCCAGCGGCGAACGGGUGAGUAACACGUGGGUAAUGUGCCUUCUGGUGGGGAAUAACCUUGGGAAACCAGGGCUAAUACCGCAUAUCGUGCUUCGGCAUGAAAGCCUUCGGGCGCCAGUAGAGCAGCCUGCGUCCCAUUAUUUAGUCCUAGUUGGUAGGGUAAUGGCCUACCAAGGGUACGAUGGGUAGCUGGUCUGAGAGGAUGAUCAGCCACACUGGAACUGAGACACGGUCCAGACUCCUACGGGAGGCAGCAGUGGGGGAAUAUUGCGCAAAUGGGGGGAAACCCUGACGCAGCCACGCCGCGUGAGUGAUGAAGGCCUCGGUG